UAGUCAUAUGCUUGUCUCAAAGAUUAAGCCAUGCAUGUCUAAGUAUAAGCAAUAGCAUACUGUGAAACUGCGAAUGGCUCAUUAAAUCAGUUAUAGUUUAUUUGAUAUUACCUUACUACUUGGAUAACCGUGGUAAUUCUAGAGCUAAUACAUGCAUUAAAAAUCCCGACUUCUGGAAGGGAUGUAUUUAUUAGAUAAAAAACCAAUGCCAGCAAUGGCUUCUUUGGUGAUUCAUAAUAACUUUUCGAAUCGUAUGAGCUUUGACUCGACGAUGGUU
Molecule: ribosomal RNA, 277 nt
Filed under: uncultured eukaryote
Lineage: Eukaryota
Description: partial 18S ribosomal RNA
Rfam family: Eukaryotic small subunit ribosomal RNA
Source: RNAcentral